RNAcentral lists this ribosomal RNA (506 nucleotides) under uncultured bacterium. RNAcentral describes it as "partial 16S ribosomal RNA". It matches the Rfam family "Bacterial small subunit ribosomal RNA", at positions 29 to 523 of the family's 1533-position model. The record is from RNAcentral.
AUUGAACGCUGGCGGCAGGCCUAACACAUGCAAGUCGAGCGGUAGCACAAGGGAGCUUGCUCCCCGGGUGACGAGCGGCGGACGGGUGAGUAAUGUCUGGGAAACUGCCUGAUGGAGGGGGAUAACUACUGGAAACGGUAGCUAAUACCGCAUAACGUCGCAAGACCAAAGUGGGGGACCUUCGGGCCUCACGCCAUCGGAUGUGCCCAGAUGGGAUUAGCUAGUAGGUGGGGUAACGGCUCACCUAGGCGACGAUCCCUAGCUGGUCUGAGAGGAUGACCAGCCACACUGGAACUGAGACACGGUCCAGACUCCUACGGGAGGCAGCAGUGGGGAAUAUUGCACAAUGGGCGCAAGCCUGAUGCAGCCAUGCCGCGUGUAUGAAGAAGGCCUUCGGGUUGUAAAGCACUUUCAGCGAGGAGGAAGGCGUGAAGGUUAAUAACCUUGACGAUUGACGUUACUCGCAGAAGAAGCACCGGCUAACUCCGUGCCAGCAGCCGCCGUAA